AUGGACCUCAAACCUGGUGCAAUAAUGCAUGAACUUGCCAAAAGGGUCGUUUCAGUUUUCAAGUGUCAUCAGUGGUACAUGGAUGGAUGGUGUCGUCAUUGCUCCGCUGCCCCAUGUUUUGGUUGUUUUGGUCCACGGCCGAGGCAAGAAAACCAAAAUCUGCACCAUGCCGAUAUGCUUCAUGACAAAACCACUUGCUUUCAUAUGUAUUGGACUACUGCAUCAUCGUCUUCGUCAAUGGAGGACGAAAUCAGUAGUAUCACCAGUCGGCCAGCGAGGAAGGCUGCUUGGAUCUGCCGCCGUGCCCACCUGCAACUUCCUAGGGCUAUUCGGCCACUUAGAGAACUUCUGGUGUCCAUAAGCAAUCUUAGUUGCUCACUAUGA
Molecule: ribosomal RNA, 384 nt
Filed under: Triticum aestivum (bread wheat)
Lineage: Eukaryota; Viridiplantae; Streptophyta; Magnoliopsida; Poales; Poaceae
Description: partial small subunit ribosomal RNA
Source: RNAcentral